RNAcentral lists this long non-coding RNA (2349 nucleotides) under Priapulus caudatus. Its description in RNAcentral is "uncharacterized LOC106818950". The record is from RNAcentral. Lineage: Eukaryota; Metazoa; Priapulida; Priapulimorpha; Priapulimorphida; Priapulidae.
UAAAACGCACCUUGGGUGUUUCAUCAGCAAACUUCGCUAGUCGUUGUCGAGCUUCGGUAUAAAUGCUGUGAGACCAGCAGCUUCCACUUUCUCGCCGCGUGAACUGCUGCAGUGUUCUGUCUGAACUACUCCAUUCGCUCGCCGUGGUCCUCCGCAAUAUAACGCUCGCUCUUUUUUCGCUGCCUCUCUCUCUCUCUCCCUCUCUCGGUCUCGCUCACACUCUCUCUCUCUCCCUCUCUCUCUCCCUCUCUCUCGCUAACAGAAGUGCUGCAGUGACGACAAACAACGUUGGGAGCACGCGCGCGCGACACAAGCCUCUACCGCGCAGAUCGUCCGCACCAACUUACACACACACAUAUAUAUAUAUUUAUAUUUAUUUACCUUCUGGCAACGGCAUGUUUUAUAUGCGAAUACUGAAUGUGGCAGUUGUCACGCUGUUUCUCUUGACCUUACCGUGUUCACACCAGAGGUCGUUGCUAUGGCCGGGCGAUCGUCUGCCGAUGGACCCUGGAAACGCUUAUCGCUUCGUGGAGGACGGCGACACAGAGCAGCUCGCAUUGCUCUACAAGACAAUGAGACAGUACAUCACGUGGGAGAUGUACCGUAAGAAGCUGCUCAAGGUCACAAACGGAUCCGUUGAUCUCUCCCGUCCGCCACCCAGGCAACAACCCGAAUUCGUACAACAGGCAGAAGAUGGCUACAGGCCGUGCCAUUUCAAGAUAUGUGCCGUGGGACGGAAGCAAGCGCGCAUGUUCGUGCGAUGACCGGAAUUUCACACUCUCCCCUCCACGUCGGAAUUGGGUUUUUUGUUUCUUCCCUCUUUGCUGGCGACACGAGCGAGGAUGUCGAUUUUAAAGAUGGCGUAAUUUGCGAUGUUAAUCUUCGCAUCGCGAUGUGUGAGAAACAAAACUAACUAAGCCAGUUCGAGAGUUUCGAUAAGUUAUAAACGACACGAAAAUCUCCCCCAGUACCGACGGAGUGUAAUAUAAAUAAUAAAAAACGACAUUGCAUGAAGCAACGGGAACAUAUUUGCUAACCUUUCUCGAUUCCCCGCUCAAUCACUCUCUCAGUUCUUUCUCACUUGCGCGCGUUUGUGCCGUUCGUAACGUAUUUUAGUAUACGUCCAACGUUUUGUUACCACCUGGGGCUCUCUCGCCGAGACGUUCUUCUUAGACGAUUCGAACUAACACUUUCGCUAGCCUCGUGGGAACGGGUAGCGAGAGAGACUAUAAGAUCGUGCAUGAGUAACUGACACCGACAUGCGAUGGUGGUAAUUUAUUAACGCGGACAGUCUUUAGACGCCCACGCACACAGACACGCCCGCAUGCACCCACGCAUGCACACACACACACAGACACGCAUGCACACACACACAGUGUGUGUGGUUAUCUGUGUGGGUGCAUGAAAACGCGGGCUCCUUCGGUGUCCGCGAUGUGUGUGUGUGUUUGUGUGUGUGUGUGUGUGUGUGUGUGUGUGUGUGUGUGUGUGUGUGUGUGUGUGUGUGUGUGUGUGUGUAUGUGCUGCAAAGAUCGCAUUGAACUGAGCCGUCAAUCUUAUCGCGUAAUUAUAGAGAAAUCGGACGAAGAAUGCAAAAACAUCUCGCGUUUCCCGACAUUUAUGCUUUUAAAAACAUCGCGGAUUCUCAAUCGUGCAGGCAGAUAUCCCGGCUUACCCUUUCACGGGAAAUCCCGGCUUAUGCAUUGGGAUGAGAUUAUGCCUUGGUCGUUUGCCUAGAGAUAGUGUAUUAAUUAUAUUGAAUUUGGAAUUAAUUGCGAAGCUGCUUAGUUACGGUGUGAUAAUGAUGUGCUAAUUACAAGUAACAUUUAUGCAUGGCCGUUACAUUUUAUUCACUGUCCCAUCGGUUAAAUAUACAAACAGAUAAAUAAAAUUAUAUACCUAUCUCUAUCUAUAUGUGUAUUUAUGACUAAGCGUAUUUGUUUCUGAAUACGCCUGAUUUUAGCGCUGAUCAUUGGUUCAAUAUAUAUAUAUAUAUAUAUUCAUAUUCAUAUAUUGAUAUACAUGAUAACUGUCGGAGCGAAACAUUGCUCAUAUGCAUGAUUCAGCGACGCUAGUAAAACACUAGAAAGCAUCGUUACUGUUUCCAAGGACUCAGUUAUACGACAGACGUGAUACAUUAAUAUUCUAUUCAUAGUAUAUUUCUAUGUUAUUUCCCUCGUAUAGUUGUCGGCGUAUUGCAAUUGGUUGCUCCGCAUUUUGCGCAAGAAAAUAUAGCGAAAGGAACGUCCAAUCGCAAAAUUUAGCAACACUCGAGAAAACUGGAAUGCAUUGUAACUGAUUUCAAUGUACUACAACGACAUUUGUAAUAAAAAUCGUAAGCUUUUAUAAGAA